Molecule: ribosomal RNA, 2925 nt
Filed under: Salmonella enterica subsp. enterica serovar Newport str. CVM 22425
Lineage: Bacteria; Pseudomonadati; Pseudomonadota; Gammaproteobacteria; Enterobacterales; Enterobacteriaceae
Description: bacterial LSU rRNA
Rfam family: Bacterial large subunit ribosomal RNA
Source: RNAcentral
GGGUUGUGAGGUUAAGCGACUAAGCGUACACGGUGGAUGCCCUGGCAGUCAGAGGCGAUGAAGGACGUGCUAAUCUGCGAUAAGCGCCGGUAAGGUGAUAUGAACCGUUAUAACCGGCGAUUUCCGAAUGGGGAAACCCAGUGUGAUUCGUCACACUAUCAUUAACUGAAUCCAUAGGUUAAUGAGGCGAACCGGGGGAACUGAAACAUCUAAGUACCCCGAGGAAAAGAAAUCAACCGAGAUUCCCCAGUAGCGGCGAGCGAACGGGGAGGAGCCCAGAGCCUGAAUCAGCAUGUGUGUUAGUGGAAGCGUCUGGAAAGGCGCGCGAUACAGGGUGACAGCCCCGUACACAAAAGCGCAUGUGCUGUGAGCUCGAUGAGUAGGGCGGGACACGUGGUAUCCUGUCUGAAUAUGGGGGGACCAUCCUCCAAGGCUAAAUACUCCUGACUGACCGAUAGUGAACCAGUACCGUGAGGGAAAGGCGAAAAGAACCCCGGCGAGGGGAGUGAAAAAGAACCUGAAACCGUGUACGUACAAGCAGUGGGAGCACAGGUUUACCUGUGUGACUGCGUACCUUUUGUAUAAUGGGUCAGCGACUUAUAUUCUGUAGCAAGGUUAACCGAAUAGGGGAGCCGGAGGGAAACCGAGUCUUAAUUGGGCGUUAAGUUGCAGGGUAUAGACCCGAAACCCGGUGAUCUAGCCAUGGGCAGGUUGAAGGUUGGGUAACACUAACUGGAGGACCGAACCGACUAAUGUUGAAAAAUUAGCGGAUGACCUGUGGCUGGGGGUGAAAGGCCAAUCAAACCGGGAGAUAGCUGGUUCUCCCCGAAAGCUAUUUAGGUAGCGCCUCGUGAACUCAUCUCCGGGGGUAGAGCACUGUUUCGGCUAGGGGGCCAUCCCGGCUUACCAACCCGAUGCAAACUGCGAAUACCGGAGAAUGUUAUCACGGGAGACACACGGCGGGUGCUAACGUCCGUCGUGAAGAGGGAAACAACCCAGACCGCCAGCUAAGGUCCCAAAGUCAUGGUUAAGUGGGAAACGAUGUGGGAAGGCCCAGACAGCCAGGAUGUUGGCUUAGAAGCAGCCAUCAUUUAAAGAAAGCGUAAUAGCUCACUGGUCGAGUCGGCCUGCGCGGAAGAUGUAACGGGGCUAAACCAUGCACCGAAGCUGCGGCAGCGACACUGUGUGUUGUUGGGUAGGGGAGCGUUCUGUAAGCCUGUGAAGGUGGCCUGUGAGGGUUGCUGGAGGUAUCAGAAGUGCGAAUGCUGACAUAAGUAACGAUAAAGCGGGUGAAAAGCCCGCUCGCCGGAAGACCAAGGGUUCCUGUCCAACGUUAAUCGGGGCAGGGUGAGUCGACCCCUAAGGCGAGGCCGAAAGGCGUAGUCGAUGGGAAACAGGUUAAUAUUCCUGUACUUGGUGUUACUGCGAAGGGGGGACGGAGAAGGCUAUGUUGGCCGGGCGACGGUUGUCCCGGUUUAAGCGUGUAGGCUGGUUUUCCAGGCAAAUCCGGAAAAUCAAGGCUGAGGCGUGAUGACGAGGCACUACGGUGCUGAAGCAACAAAUGCCCUGCUUCCAGGAAAAGCCUCUAAGCAUCAGGUAACAUCAAAUCGUACCCCAAACCGACACAGGUGGUCAGGUAGAGAAUACCAAGGCGCUUGAGAGAACUCGGGUGAAGGAACUAGGCAAAAUGGUGCCGUAACUUCGGGAGAAGGCACGCUGACACGUAGGUGAAGUGAUUUACUCAUGGAGCUGAAGUCAGUCGAAGAUACCAGCUGGCUGCAACUGUUUAUUAAAAACACAGCACUGUGCAAACACGAAAGUGGACGUAUACGGUGUGACGCCUGCCCGGUGCCGGAAGGUUAAUUGAUGGGGUCAGCGCAAGCGAAGCUCCUGAUCGAAGCCCCGGUAAACGGCGGCCGUAACUAUAACGGUCCUAAGGUAGCGAAAUUCCUUGUCGGGUAAGUUCCGACCUGCACGAAUGGCGUAAUGAUGGCCAGGCUGUCUCCACCCGAGACUCAGUGAAAUUGAACUCGCUGUGAAGAUGCAGUGUACCCGCGGCAAGACGGAAAGACCCCGUGAACCUUUACUAUAGCUUGACACUGAACAUUGAGCCUUGAUGUGUAGGAUAGGUGGGAGGCUUUGAAGCGUGGACGCCAGUCUGCGUGGAGCCGACCUUGAAAUACCACCCUUUAAUGUUUGAUGUUCUAACGUGGACCCGUAAUCCGGGUUGCGGACAGUGUCUGGUGGGUAGUUUGACUGGGGCGGUCUCCUCCUAAAGAGUAACGGAGGAGCACGAAGGUUGGCUAAUCCUGGUCGGACAUCAGGAGGUUAGUGCAAUGGCAUAAGCCAGCUUGACUGCGAGCGUGACGGCGCGAGCAGGUGCGAAAGCAGGUCAUAGUGAUCCGGUGGUUCUGAAUGGAAGGGCCAUCGCUCAACGGAUAAAAGGUACUCCGGGGAUAACAGGCUGAUACCGCCCAAGAGUUCAUAUCGACGGCGGUGUUUGGCACCUCGAUGUCGGCUCAUCACAUCCUGGGGCUGAAGUAGGUCCCAAGGGUAUGGCUGUUCGCCAUUUAAAGUGGUACGCGAGCUGGGUUUAGAACGUCGUGAGACAGUUCGGUCCCUAUCUGCCGUGGGCGCUGGAGAACUGAGGGGGGCUGCUCCUAGUACGAGAGGACCGGAGUGGACGCAUCACUGGUGUUCGGGUUGUCAUGCCAAUGGCACUGCCCGGUAGCUAAAUGCGGAAGAGAUAAGUGCUGAAAGCAUCUAAGCACGAAACUUGCCCCGAGAUGAGUUCUCCCUGAGACUUAGAGUCUCCUGAAGGAACGUUGAAGACGACGACGUUGAUAGGCCGGGUGUGUAAGCGCAGCGAUGCGUUGAGCUAACCGGUACUAAUGAACCGUGAGGCUUAACCUUACAACGCCGAAG